GGUUAUCUGUAUGGUUUCUAUACUUAUAAACAAUUAUUAUAUUUGUAUAUCUUUCUUCCCGUUUUUGUUCUACUGAAAAUUGUCACAGGUAUUUAUCUUAUUUACAUGAAAAGGUAUAUAUCCAUGUAAAUAAUACUACGAUCCAUUAAAAAAACGAUCGUAAGUAAUACUGAAAUGUUCAAAACUUCCGGAUAUUUUAUUUUUUUUUCGUAUACUUUUUUAUGAAAUGAGUCGCUUGGUGAUAAUUUAUAAUUUGGCUUGUAGAAGAGGUCUGAAACUCUUAUAACAUAAAAUAAACGAAUAAGGUUUCGUUAGUCUUAAUAAAGAAAAAAAAAAAACAUAUCAAUUAUUCCAUUCCACAAGAAAUCUACGACACAGUCCUUUCCCGAAUACCACGACAAAACAAAAAGGUGAAUUAACGGGAUAUAUGAUUUUUUUACAUCCAUGUAUGUGUAUACAGUUUUUUCAAUGAAAGCAUUUUUUUAAAUAAAAAUUUGAUUUCACCUAUAGGUUCUUGAAGAGGCCUUCAAUGAUUCAUUAGAUAAGUCUUUAGACUUCAUUGACAUUGAAACAGAAUUGUCACCCACAUAUGACAGUACGGACAACCGGGAAGAGGAAGAAAUUCCGGCAGAUAUACAAAAAACAUUCGAGACAACUGUUUCUAAUACCGAUGCCACAAACAUGACAACUCAAAAAUUUCAAACAGAUUCCAUUCCACAGAAAACAAGAAGAUUACAAACAUUAAAGCCCAAGAGAAAAUCUAAAGGUAUCCAGUGUGACCCUUCAGAUAUUGAUUCAAAAUAUCUAGUCGCCACACAAAACAAAUUGAUAACCGCAAAUACUACAAGCUGUAGCCAUACACAGGUACAGACCGAACAAAACUUGGAUGACAAUGAUGAGAUGGAUGAUAAUGAAGAUGAUGUAGAUGAAUAUGAUAAUGAUCCUGAUUAUAUUUAUAACGAGUCCGAGGAAGAAGAUGGGGACGAUGAAUAUGGUUCUGAUGAUGAAAAAGAAACAAGCAAUUACAGAUUGGAAGAAGGUAAAGAUCCAGUUGAUGAAAAGUACUACAUGGUCUCUGAAACAGCAUUAUUUCAGUUACUCUCAGUAUGCCGAGAGUGUAACCUUCGUUGCGUUCCAAUAAUUAAAUUCAGUAGAGGGACAAUGAUAUCUACAUCAUCCGUAUGUGCUUUGGGACACGUCUACAGGUGGAAAUCCAAAAACUGUCAUGAAAGACUACCAUCGGGAAACCUUUUACUUGCAAGUGCCAUAAUGUUUAGCGGAAAUAAUACAGCCAAAGGUGUAAGAUUAUUCAAUCAAAUGAAACUGAAAGGCAUUAGUGAACGCUCGGUUAGAAGACUGCAAACAGCAUACACAUCAUGUGCUGUUAUUUAUGAAUUUGACUCGCAUCAAGCAGAUCUGCUUACUUCCUUGCAAGGUCCAGAUAAACAAAUAAUACUUGGUGGCGACGGAAGGUGUGACAGUCCUGGUUAUAGUGCUAAAUAUGGCAGUUAUACCCUGAUGGACUUGAACACAAAUAAAAUAUUGGACAUUCAGCUUGUUCAGUCCAAUGAAGUUAAGGGGUCAACCCAUAUGGAAUUUGAAGGACUAAAGAGGGGUUUGUCCCUUCUUAUGGACACUAAUCAUAUUGAAGUCUCGACGCUUGUCACAAAUAGACACGUUAUGAUAAAGUAGUUUAUGAAGGACAACAAUCCAGAAAUAUAUCAUUAAUUCGAUGUAUGGCAUAUAGCAAAAGGAAUAUAAAAAAAGUUGAAAACAGAGCCAAGAAGAAAGAUAAAUGAGACAUAAGACCAUGGAUAAAGAGCAUUGUUAACCAUACAUAUUGGGUAGCUGCAUCAAGUGCGGAAGAUCAAAAUGUGAAAAUACACACAAAUGGACAUCAAUGUCCAACAUCAUCAUCAAUAACAUGUCCAUGAAUCUGAUGUACUUCCGCAAUGUAUCCAUGGAGAGCUUGAGGAACAAUGAGCUUGGCUUAAACAAGGUUCCAGAUCUCAUAAACUUGUUCUGGAAUUAAUCGAAAGCAAAUAUUUGCUUAACGAUUUAAAAAGCUGUCACCAGUGCACCAGACAUAUGACAUCGAGGUGUUUAACUCACUUGUGAACCAGUAUGCACCAAAGAACACCCACUUAUUCCAGUAUUCAAUGAAAGCAAGGAUUUACAUUGCUGCAUUGCAUUACAAUGAAAAUGGAAAAAGACAGCAAGCUGUCACAAAAGCAGGAAUCUUGAAAUGGAAAAUGUCGUACCCUAAAGCAAAAAAAGGAGAGCAAUGUGUUGUCAAACCGCAGAAAGUUCAAGCAACCUAUGAUUAUGUUGGAGCUCUUCUGAAAAGAACUUUUGACAGACGAAAUAACUUGUCAAGCAUUAAAGAAGCUCUAGAGGACUUUAACGUUGUAUACCAGAGACUUCCUCCACUAACAGCAUCAAAUGCUAAUUUUGAUAAGGAGGAGUUUAUAAGACAUAGAACAAGUUGUUUUUGCUAGAAACUGACAUCAUUUCGCAACUUUGCAUACUUGUACAUUUGUUUUAAUAUAUUAUGUGAUCAUUGUUCAAUAUAACUCUUCACCAUUAUCCUUGUAUUUACCACAAUUUACACCAUGUAAUCAAGUGUUUUUAUCUUUCAAUGCUGUGUUGUGGAAACGUAAAAUAUACACAGAUUUUAACCACAAGUAUGGGCGGGUAAUUGAGAGCUUCAUGAAAUAAAUUUAUUUAAAUUAUCAUGGCCUGGCAUAUUUGAAACCAGUAAAGUACUCAGACGGGAAUGCCUCCCGAAUUUUUCUUUCUGCACAUGCUGGUGUCACUUUUUUCUUUUUUUCCCAAGAAUAAGCCAGAUCCGGCGAGUGAAUCGUCAGUACGCUUUAUAGCUAUAUAAUCUGAAAAAAAAAAUUAACAUAUUUAACAGAUUAUUCGAAUUCUUUAUACAAAGUGAUACUCCAAACUUGAACAAGGAUAUUAUUAUAACUGAUUGUCAGCAUUGAUUAAGAUGAUUUCACAUUUUCAUGAUGAUAUAUUUGUUUAUCCAGAUUUAAUUAUUUUGACUGUUUUGAAUUUCAUCAUCAGCUUGGUCUUGAAAUUUUUUUUAUCAUGUUUUUGAUUGAAAUUGUAAUUAAAAAAAAAUAGUUGUGAAGUAAAAUU
RNA transcript from Mytilus californianus (California mussel), 3150 nucleotides. RefSeq lists it as uncharacterized. The record is from RefSeq and is a predicted model, not a curated record. Lineage: Eukaryota; Metazoa; Mollusca; Bivalvia; Mytilida; Mytilidae. The transcript is spliced from 7 exons.